RNAcentral lists this long non-coding RNA (190 nucleotides) under Octopus sinensis (East Asian common octopus). RNAcentral describes it as "uncharacterized LOC118767200, transcript variant X1". Lineage: Eukaryota; Metazoa; Mollusca; Cephalopoda; Octopoda; Octopodidae. The record is from RNAcentral.
GCCAGUUCUGGCCUCUCACACCAACCCUACAAUCAUUCUAAAAAUAAGUGAUAACAUCAUCGAAAUCUUAAAGCUACGAAAUAAUGCAGGAUUAGCUUAAAACAAUACGGAUGAAUAAAUAUUAUAUUUGACAGAAUAAUCUGAAUGCUAAAGGGUUUAAUAAGAGAAAGUUCAGAUGACUGAUAAAACA